Molecule: long non-coding RNA, 343 nt
Filed under: Actinidia chinensis (golden kiwifruit)
Lineage: Eukaryota; Viridiplantae; Streptophyta; Magnoliopsida; Ericales; Actinidiaceae
Description: long non-coding RNA (ACHI_LNC004360)
Source: RNAcentral
GAAUAAUCUCAACCAUACAAUAUUUUUUCUCAAAAGAGAAUAUUAUUACCAAAUGUGCCAGAGGAGCGUUUACCUCACGACUCGGGAGUUAUGACGGUACCGUUACCUCAGUCACGACUCACAUAUAGUGGCAGUGAGGAGGGUCAUUCUUUAUCACCAAUGGUAGGUGCUAGCAUGUUAGAUUAGUAGUCAACCAAAAAGGUAAGCAACAACCAAGCUCACCAGGCAAACAACAACCAAGUUUGCCAAAUAAUCAACGCAAGCACAACAAUCAAGCUUGCUAACUAGUAGGCAAACACACAACCAAGCUUGCUAACUAGCACACUAGCACACAAGAUAUAAA